GGGUUGUGAGGUUAAGCGACUAAGCGUACACGGUGGAUGCCCUGGCAGUCAGAGGCGAUGAAGGACGUGCUAAUCUGCGAUAAGCGUCGGUAAGGUGAUAUGAACCGUUAUAACCGGCGAUUUCCGAAUGGGGAAACCCAGUGUGUUUCGACACACUAUCAUUAACUGAAUCCAUAGGUUAAUGAGGCGAACCGGGGGAACUGAAACAUCUAAGUACCCCGAGGAAAAGAAAUCAACCGAGAUUCCCCCAGUAGCGGCGAGCGAACGGGGAGCAGCCCAGAGCCUGAAUCAGUGUGUGUGUUAGUGGAAGCGUCUGGAAAGGCGCGCGAUACAGGGUGACAGCCCCGUACACAAAAAAAUGCACAUGCUGUGAGCUCGAUGAGUAGGGCGGGACACGUGGUAUCCUGUCUGAAUAUGGGGGACCAUCCUCCAAGGCUAAAUACUCCUGACUGACCGAUAGUGAACCAGUACCGUGAGGGAAAGGCGAAAAAGAACCCCGGCGAGGGGAGUGAAAAAAAGAACCUGAAACCGUGUACGUACAAGCAGUGGGAGCCUCUUUAUGGGGUGACUGCGUACCUUUUGUAUAAUGGGUCAGCGACUUAUAUUCUGUAGCAAGGUUAACCGAAUAGGGGAGCCGAAGGGAAACCGAGUCUUAACUGGGCGUUAAGUUGCAGGGUAUAGACCCGAAACCCGGUGAUCUCAGCCAUGGGCAGGUUGAAGGUUGGGUAACACUAACUGGAGGACCGAACCGACUAAUGUUGAAAAAUUAGCGGAUGACUUGUGGCUGGGGGUGAAAGGCCAAUCAAACCGGGAGAUAGCUGGUUCUCCCCGAAAGCUAUUUAGGUAGCGCCUCGUGAAUUCAUCUCCGGGGGUAGAGCACUGUUUCGGCAAGGGGGUCAUCCCGACUUACCAACCCGAUGCAAACUGCGAAUACCGGAGAAUGUUAUCACGGGAGACACACGGCGGGUGCUAACGUCCGUCGUGAAGAGGGAAACAACCCAGACCGCCAGCUAAGGUCCCAAAGUCAUGGUUAAGUGGGAAACGAUGUGGGAAGGCCCAGACAGCCGGGGAUGUUGGCUUAGAAGCAGCCAUCAUUUAAAGAAAGCGUAAUAGCUCACUGGUCGAGUCGGCCUGCGCGGAAGAUGUAACGGGGCUAAACCAUGCACCGAAGCUGCGGCAGCGACGCUUAUGCGUUGUUGGGUAGGGGAGCGUUCUGUAAGCCUGUGAAGGUGUGCUGUGAGGCAUGCUGGAGGUAUCAGAAGUGCGAAUGCUGACAUAAGUAACGAUAAAGCGGGUGAAAAAGCCCGCUCGCCGGAAGACCAAGGGUUCCUGUCCAACGUUAAUCGGGGCAGGGUGAGUCGACCCCUAAGGCGAGGCCGAAAGGCGUAGUCGAUGGGAAACAGGUUAAUAUUCCUGUACUUGGUGUUACUGCGAAGGGGGGACGGAGAAGGCUAUGUUGGCCGGGCGACGGUUGUCCCGGUUUAAGCGUGUAGGCUGGUUUUUCCGUGCAAAUCCGGAAAAAUCAAGGCUGAGGCGUGAUGACGAGGCACUACGGUGCUGAAGCAACAAAUGCCCUGCUUCCAGGAAAAGCCUCUAAGCAUCAGGUAACAUCAAAUCGUACCCCAAACCGACACAGGUGGUCAGGUAGAGAAUACCAAGGCGCUUGAGAGAACUCGGGUGAAGGAACUAGGCAAAAUGGUGCCGUAACUUCGGGAGAAGGCACGCUGAUAUGUAGGUGAAGUCCCUCGCGGAUGGAGCUGAAAUCAGUCGAAGAUACCAGCUGGCUGCAACUGUUUAUUAAAAACACAGCACUGUGCAAACACGAAAGUGGACGUAUACGGUGUGACGCCUGCCCGGUGCCGGAAGGUUAAUUGAUGGGGUUAGCGGUAACGCGAAGCUCUUGAUCGAAGCCCCGGUAAACGGCGGCCGUAACUAUAACGGUCCUAAGGUAGCGAAAUUCCUUGUCGGGUAAGUUCCGACCUGCACGAAUGGCGUAAUGAUGGCCAGGCUGUCUCCACCCGAGACUCAGUGAAAUUGAACUCGCUGUGAAGAUGCAGUGUACCCGCGGCAAGACGGAAAGACCCCGUGAACCUUUACUAUAGCUUGACACUGAACAUUGAGCCUUGAUGUGUAGGAUAGGUGGGAGGCUUUGAAGUGUGGACGCCAGUCUGCAUGGAGCCGACCUUGAAAUACCACCCUUUAAUGUUUGAUGUUCUAACGUUGACCCGUAAUCCGGGUUGCGGACAGUGUCUGGUGGGUAGUUUGACUGGGGCGGUCUCCUCCUAAAGAGUAACGGAGGAGCACGAAGGUUGGCUAAUCCUGGUCGGACAUCAGGAGGUUAGUGCAAUGGCAUAAGCCAGCUUGACUGCGAGCGUGACGGCGCGAGCAGGUGCGAAAGCAGGUCAUAGUGAUCCGGUGGUUCUGAAUGGAAGGGCCAUCGCUCAACGGAUAAAAGGUACUCCGGGGAUAACAGGCUGAUACCGCCCAAGAGUUCAUAUCGACGGCGGUGUUUGGCACCUCGAUGUCGGCUCAUCACAUCCUGGGGCUGAAGUAGGUCCCAAGGGUAUGGCUGUUCGCCAUUUAAAGUGGUACGCGAGCUGGGUUUAGAACGUCGUGAGACAGUUCGGUCCCUAUCUGCCGUGGGCGCUGGAGAACUGAGGGGGGGCUGCUCCUAGUACGAGAGGACCGGAGUGGACGCAUCACUGGUGUUCGGGUUGUCAUGCCAAUGGCACUGCCCGGUAGCUAAAUGCGGAAGAGAUAAGUGCUGAAAGCAUCUAAGCACGAAACUUGCCCCGAGAUGAGUUCUCCCUGACUCCUUGAGAGUCCUGAAGGAACGUUGAAGACGACGACGUUGAUAGGCCGGGUGUGUAAGCGCAGCGAUGCGUUGAGCUAACCGGUACUAAUGAACCGUGAGGCUUAACCUUACAACGCCGAAG
Molecule: ribosomal RNA, 2936 nt
Filed under: Escherichia coli
Lineage: Bacteria; Pseudomonadati; Pseudomonadota; Gammaproteobacteria; Enterobacterales; Enterobacteriaceae
Description: 23S ribosomal RNA
Rfam family: Bacterial large subunit ribosomal RNA
Source: RNAcentral